Molecule: ribosomal RNA, 465 nt
Filed under: uncultured bacterium
Lineage: Bacteria
Description: partial 16S ribosomal RNA
Rfam family: Bacterial small subunit ribosomal RNA
Source: RNAcentral
GAACGCUGGCGGCGUGCUUAACACAUGCAAGUCGAACGGAAAGGCCCUGCUUUUGUGGGGUGCUCGAGUGGCGAACGGGUGAGUAACACGUGAGUAACCUGCCCUUGACUUUGGGAUAACUUCGGGAAACUGGGGCUAAUACCGGAUAGGAGCUCCUGCUGCAUGGUGGGGGUUGGAAAGUUUCGGCGGUUGGGGAUGGACUCGCGGCUUAUCAGCUUGUUGGUGGGGUAGUGGCUUACCAAGGCUUUGACGGGUAGCCGGCCUGAGAGGGUGACCGGCCACAUUGGGACUGAGAUACGGCCCAGACUCCUACGGGAGGCAGCAGUGGGGAAUAUUGCACAAUGGGCGGAAGCCUGAUGCAGCAACGCCGCGUGCGGGAUGACGGCCUUCGGGUUGUAAACCGCUUUCGCCUGUGACGAAGCGUGAGUGACGGUAAUGGGUAAAGAAGCACCGGCUAACUACGUG